AUGCUUGGCUGCUUGGCUGCUUGGCGGGCCAGAGUUUCAGCUCCGAUCCACGAGGGGGCGCAAGGCCCUGCUUGCGCAGGUUCCGCCCGAGGAGACGCCGCUCUAGGCCGCAGCCGGCGCUCCCACUGCAUUUCUGCCGGCGCCGAACCGAGGGAGGAUGGUCUCGCCGCCCCACGUGAGUCACUGCGUGGUCGCGCUGCCCAGGGACCCCUGGCGGCCUCCAAGGCCGGUGCUCCGUCCCCACAUCCCCGACAGGAGGGGAAACUGAGGCGGCAGGCGGCGGGGAGCUUCGGCCGCAGGUCGGCUCUGAGCCCAGGCCCGCUCCAGCUCCCGAGCCGGUCUCCUCCUCCGGAUGUGGACUUCUCGGAGCUCGUGUCCCCGACAAAGGGGUGUCGGGUCACCGCGCCACCGGCCGGCGCUGCUUCGGAGCGUCGGGUCCCCCGGCCUCACCCGCCCGGCCUCGCGAGCUCCCGGCUGCGUCGGAGACAGAUGAAGACCCUCCCUCGGACGGCUUUGCUGGGCCUGCCUCAGCCAGCGCCCCCUUCUGUCCUGCGGGUCCCUGACCCGCCCUGCCUGAUGCACCCCCACUGUGUGCAGGGGCUGAGGCUGUCCCCUGGGCCAGACACUGCCUGUCAGAUGUUGCACCCUUCCAAACCUGUCCUGGAGAUUCCAUCCUGUUCAAGAUCCAGCUUUCAGAACCUGUACAGUGUCAUCAGAGUUUGCACAGAAGAUGAUCUGCCCCAGAUAAGCUGUUGUCCCAUGUGGAGUGGAAGCUUCCUUCCUGUUCAUGAGAAGACGGUGUGGCUCGUAGAGGAGGCAGCAUGGUGCAUAGGGUCCUUGAGAGGUGUCUCCAUCCUGUCAGGAAGCGGCUGGACCAUGGUGCUGCUGAGUUGCAGAUGAGUCCACUGUGUGCAGAGGCGUCAUGGAAGUUGCUAUGUUGGGAACAUUCUAGACCCCAGUGUCCUUGAGGAGGAUUGAUAUUCCUUCCUGAGCCAAGUUUGGUGUGAAAAAAAACGUGCAGCUCAUCCCUGACUUAGUGGGGGCAGUCUCACGGAUGUCGGCUUGAAGAAAGAUAAGGUAACGCUGGAGAGCAAAUCCUUGUCGUGAGCUCCUCAUCACCCUCAGGGUGCUGCCUGGGACCUGGACUUGGUUGGAAGAAGCCUCAAAGGAAAACAGUGGCCCCCCUCAGGAUGGUGACCUGGGUCCCAGCUCCCUGGAGGGGCCUCCUCGUGGUUAUUUUGGGGCUGAUCACAGACACUGUGUAGCAGAGCGAAGAAUGAUGUUGCCACAUGACCGUCACCAGACCUUCUAUCUUCCAUUGGCUCAGCACAGAAUGGAAGGACUUCGCAGCUCUGUAAAGGGGGCAGAUGGAAUGUCCUGGGACUCUAGGGACUUGGGGUUCAGAGCUGAAGACCUUCACUUAGCUCUGCCUCUCCCCAGCAGGUGCCACAGAGCGCUGCGGACCCAGAAAACUGGUUUCCUUCCAUCUGGACCAGGUCAUCCAGUGGCCUCCAUGUCCCCCUGCCUACUGCUAUGUAACUUUUUAGAACCAAGAGUUUGUGUUGGAGUUUCUGUGUGUGCAUCUUGUCCUCUCAUCCACUUCAGUAAAUCUUGAAGCUGCCCAA
Camelus dromedarius (Arabian camel) is the source of this 1625-nucleotide long non-coding RNA. RefSeq annotates it as proline-rich protein 36. The record is from RefSeq and is a predicted model, not a curated record. Lineage: Eukaryota; Metazoa; Chordata; Mammalia; Artiodactyla; Camelidae. The transcript has 8 exons.